CCCAGACUCCUACGGGAGGCAGCAGUGGGGGAUAUUGCACAAUGGGGGGAACCCUGAUGCAGCGGCGCCGCGUGGGUGAAGAAGCGCCUCGGCGCGUAAAGCCCUGUCAGCAGGGAAGAAAAUGACGGUACCUGAAGAAGAAGCCCCGGCUAACUACGUGCCAGCAGCCGCGGUAAUACGUAGGGGGCAAGCGUUAUCCGGAUUUACUGGGUGGAAAGGGGGCGCAGACGGCGAUGCAAGACAGGAGUGAAAGCCCGGGGCGCAACCCCGGGACUGCUCUUGGAACUGCGUGGCUGGAGUGCAGGAGGGGGAGGCGGAAUUCCUGGUGUAGCGGUGAAAUGCGUAGAUAUCAGGAGGAGCACCGGUGGCGAAGGCGGCCUGCUGGACUGCAACUGACGUUGAGGCGCGAAAGCGUGGGGAGCAAACAGGAUUAGAUACCCGCGU
Molecule: ribosomal RNA, 444 nt
Filed under: uncultured bacterium
Lineage: Bacteria
Description: bacterial SSU rRNA
Rfam family: Bacterial small subunit ribosomal RNA
Source: RNAcentral